Molecule: microRNA precursor, 67 nt
Filed under: Bombyx mori (domestic silkworm)
Lineage: Eukaryota; Metazoa; Arthropoda; Insecta; Lepidoptera; Bombycidae
Description: mir-2774 microRNA precursor family
Rfam family: mir-2774 microRNA precursor family
Source: Rfam by way of RNAcentral
AAAACAUUCGGACCACUGGUUUACCGAGCAAAAUCACCCGCUCGGUGGAAGAUCUUCCCUACGUCGU